CCAUCAUGGGUGACGUUGUCAGUGGGAAGAUCAUCCACAACGUCCUCGCCUCCAGCCAGGUGCUGAUCUAUCUGGCCUCAAGGGGUUGGUUCCAGGGAGCUCCUCUUACGUAAACCACCAGCGGAGGGGUUGCCGGACAUCACGGUGAUGGUGGUGAUGAGAGGCCGAAAUGUUCUAGGACCGGGGCAUGUUAUUAGUGGAGGAGCUGAAGAAGUUGGGAAGGAAGGUGGUGAAGUUGCACGUCUUCUUGGAAGAGGAGCAUCCCUUCUAUGAUCAACAUCGUCUUUGAUAUAUAGAAAGAAGAUUGUGCUGCUAUGUUGCCGGUGCAACUGUGUCGGGGUGUUCUCUUGGAAAGAGUGAGGAUUAGACGGAUGAAGGUUUCUUUGACAAGCUUGUGGAUGAUGAGUUUCGGAUCGAUGGUUCUUCUGCAGCUGAGUUAGAGGAGGGUAAUGAUUCCGAUGGGAUCAACUGGGCCCCUGCUGACACUUCUCUAGCGAACCUUUCUUUGAGUGAAUUGGAGUACCAUUCACAAGUUCAGGUGGACAAGGCUGUUGCGGAAAAGCUGGCUCCUUUAGUGUCAGUAACUCGGUCGAAUUCAAACCAGAGAAAGUAAAUCAGGUUGCAGAAGGGAGUAGUUCCGAUGUGCUUGUUGAGUCCAACGAGUCUGCCAUACCAGUAGAGUUGGUUGCACAUGUGCCGGUGCCAAUGCCCAUUUGAACAAUUUGGAAGCAGAUUUUCCGUCUGUUAAGCGUUCUAAGCAGACCCGGGCGAGCAUGAAGGAGGUGCAGUGGAGUAGCUUUCAUACAGGUAUGGGCGAUAAUGAUUCUGGUUGUUUUAUUUCUCAUUCAGAUUUCUUUGCAGAAUGGAUGAAAAUACAUUUAGACAGACUACAUUGGAGCAUGGCACCACAUUCCCAUCAACGUCUUUGCAAUCUCAAUGGCAAAAUCAAGCUGGUUUUGUUCAAGGGAGAACACAGCAAACUGAUGCAAUCAAUGAUGGCCUGCAGUCGUCUUCAUCUUCUGUCUUUGAUAGUUCUUUUGUCCUAGAUCCCCAAGAGGAGGUUGUUGAGAAGGACCUAAAAGGUGAAACUACUGAUUUGUUGUGAAGUACAACAAGGCGAAGCGAUGCACUAAGUUGAUGAUGCAAUGUGUAGCUAAGCGAUGCGUAGUGAAGCUUAAGUUUCAUGGCAAAAAUAAUCUAACAUAUUAUAUCAACAAAAAUCAUGUCAGAAAUUAAAAAAAGAGAAAAAAAACCAUUUUUUUCUGGCGUCAAAAUCAGACAUGAAGGAUGGCACUGUUUUUCUAUUUGCGAGAAAGUUUAAUUAUUUGUUAUCAACAAUUAUACAUAAAAGUUUGUAAAAUAUUUAAUUCCUUAUAAGUACUGCAGAUGAAAAAAAACAUUACUUUGGUUUAUUUAAACAACAUACUCAUGAGAGCACCGGUUUGGUCAAAUGGUUAUAAGUUCAAUAAAUUCACUAAACUCUAUGAUUUUUUAUCCAACAUUUAUUAACUUACACUAUUUCAUUCAACAUACAACUUUCAAUAAACUAACACUUAUGGCUUUCAUCUAAUUCUACCAUGCGGCUGAGAAAAAAAUUAAACAAAAACAAUGUGAAAUAGAAAAAUGAAAAAAAAUACAAGCAUUAAUUACAAAACAGAGGUAGAGGGAGAGAGACAUGAGCGACAGGCAGGCACUCGAGGUGCACAUUACGUGUGUUGAGUUGUGUGAUUCAAAUAACAUGGUGGUUACAUUAUGGGUUCAGGUAACAUAGCGGGGGUAAUGCUGUUACAGGUUUAUAGUGGUGAAAUUUCUACUGGUGCUAGAGAACACCAGUAUAAAUACCUUAGCGGCGAGGCAUUUCACUGGUAUAAGUAUAUACGGCUGCAAACUACCUCAUCGUUAGAGAUCUAUACCAGUUGUAAUCGUCACCGAUAUUGGACUGUCCCAGUUGCGUUCAUCACCUGUAUAGGUUAUUAUGAUUAAAGAAUAGCACAAACAUAAUUUGUACCCUCAAGAAAACAUUUAUAUUCUCUAGUAAAUAUUUCCCUGGCUUUCAACCAAAAUAUGUCUUAGGCAAUGUGUUCCUUCUGCAUCCAGCGCUAAGGGGGAACAAAACUCAGCCGUGUGAUGCAAUGGUCAGCUGUUGACAGAUGACAGUACCAUGCCAAUUAGAGAUGAUGGAGGUGAGGGCUGUCUAUUUUCUGUGGAAAGGUUGCAAGAGUUGAAGGUAUAUAGAGAAGUUGCUUGAAAGAAUCAGAGUCUAAAGUCAAUUUGGUUCACUCGACAAGAGAUUUUCUUGUAUAUAUACAAUGAUGGUAGGAAGGUAUUCAUACUCCACCUUGUAUACUGCAUCAUUCGUUAUGUAUAAAGAAUCCCACCUUA
Molecule: long non-coding RNA, 2382 nt
Organism: Nymphaea colorata (pocket water lily)
Lineage: Eukaryota; Viridiplantae; Streptophyta; Magnoliopsida; Nymphaeales; Nymphaeaceae
Exons: 3
Source: RefSeq, a predicted model, not a curated record